This 458-nucleotide transfer RNA is filed under the name uncultured marine bacterium 106. RNAcentral describes it as "partial 16S-23S ribosomal RNA intergenic spacer". The stretch from base 165 to 239 matches the Rfam family "tRNA". The record is from RNAcentral.
CCUCCUUUCUAAGGACGACGGAGAUGCUUUAUGCUUUAUCUCCGUAUAGUCAAAGUCGAAUCAGUCUCUCUGCUCUUCUCUCCCUUUUCUCCUGUAAUACCUAAGUUAGGCUUCUAGAGUAACGAAUACUUAUAUACGUUGCUGUGUAGGUAUAACUUCAAGUAGGGCCUGUAGCUCAGCUUGGUUAGAGCGCAUCCCUGAUAAGGAUGAGGCCGGUGGUUCAAGUCCACCCAGGCCCACCAGCUCAUUUUGGUUUUGUUUAUUUAUGAUUCAGAGUUGCUUGCCGUCAUGGUAAGGAGCUGGAAGUUCAAACUUCAAAGCCGGAAUCAAGUACCGGGGGAUUAGCUCAGCUGGUAGAGCGCCUGCUUUGCAAGCAGGAGGUCAGCGGUUCGAGCCCGCUAUCCUCCACCACUGGUUUAUAGAACAGGGAUAGAUUAUUAUUUAAGGAUUUAUCAGGC